This 305-nucleotide long non-coding RNA is filed under the name Mytilus galloprovincialis (Mediterranean mussel). The record is from RNAcentral. Lineage: Eukaryota; Metazoa; Mollusca; Bivalvia; Mytilida; Mytilidae.
AUUAAAUACUAAAUUGGAAGUAACAGUAGUAAAUAGAUGUUAAAAUCUAUAAAGAAUAAAGGUACAACUCAAGUUGAAGCAAUUUUGGAAUCGUAUGAACUUCCACAGGAGCGAGAAGUGACUCAUCAUCGUAUAUAUCAUGGUGUACAUGCAUUUCAAGUCAUACAAAAGGAUAUAUUACAACAUUAUUUGAAAGUUAUCAAAUGAAAAAGGAAAACCACAAAAACUCCACGGAAAUUCGAAACGGAAGGUCUCUAAUCAAAUGACAAAACCAAUAGCUCAAACAAAUCAAUCGAAUAGACAAC